GACUUUAUGGCUCUCUACAACCUCUUGAGGUGGGGAAAUAGAGAAAGAGGUGCUGGUCUCUUCUUGUUGGUCACCAAUGGUAGGACACAAAGCUGCACCAGAGGAGGUUCUAAAUAUUAAAAAACAUUUCUCUACCAUGAGGGUGGGCAAACACUAGAACUGACUUCCUGGAGAAGCAGGUGAUGCCCAAUGCUUGUCAGUGUCCAAGAGGCAUUUGGAUAAUGUCCUUAAUAAUAUGCUUUACAUUUUGUUUAGCCCUAAUGUGGUCAGGCAGUUGGAGUAGAUGAUCUUUGAAGGUUCCUUCAAAGGGGGAUGAACUAUUCCAUUCCAUUCCAUUCCAUUCCAUUCCAUUCCAUUCCAUUCCAUUCCAUUCCAUUCCAUUCCAUUCCAUUCUAUUUCAUGUUAGGGUUAAAAACUGUUAGGUUUGGUCCGAUGUGAAACAGGCCUUCUUGUCAGACUAGCAAACUCUGACCUUUCAAUGAUACACAUUGCUAGCUCAGCAAUAUGGCACCAAGCCACAAGUCAUCCAGCAUGAGACAACGCUGCCAUCAGCAUGGCAUGCAUUGGCCACAUGGCUGUGUGUGAUCGCAGCAGCCUGGCAAGGAUUGCCGAGUGAUUCCCUUGGGCUAGAGCCACCAGUCGUGCAAUGCCCCGGGUUUGGGAGCAUGCAGGGGCAAAACGUAUAAACAGAGCAAGUCGCUCCGCAUCGCUGAGGCAAGAGCAUCAGCUGAGGUCAAUGUUGCCUCUGUGGGAAUGCCUGCAAGAUGUUGAGACCUACUGCAUCAACAGGAUGCUGACCUGGCUAAGUUUCUACGACAUUGACAAUUGGGAAAGGCAUUGUGCUCGUCGGUACACUUGUCAUCACCCUGGAGUUGGAAACCAGGAGUUGAUACUCUGUAAAACGUGUGAGAUAAGGGGAGAAAGAUAUCAGCAACAGUCUGACAGCUAUGCUGUCAUUAGUAAUUAAACAUUAAUGGAAAAUCGUUGCAGAAGCUACCGUUCACUCACACAGAAGAGCCUGGAGAUGCCAGAGUUAGCCUUGCUGGACUGCACUGGGUAUAUACUGACGAUUUGAUUCCUCAGCUGCCAAGGGUGAUAAAAUGGUUCUGUAAGGAAUAGGCAGAUCUCCAUAAUUUGUGCCAAAUCCUAGCUGUUACUGAACAAAAAGAGGAAGAUGGAGAAGGGAGCAUGCUCCUGUUAUCUAGGCAGUAUACAUGUGAUGCUAUGGAGAAAUUCCUGGGGACAGAUACCAGUUAUCAGCUGCAGACUUUGAAAUCCGUUCUUAAUCUCCCUAUGUGACCUUCAGGCCUUUAAAAAAAAAAAAAAAAAAAACAAAACUUGUGCAAAAGUUAACAUACAAUAUGACUCUCUUAUUAUGUUUAUGUAAUACAGGCAUAAUUGUUUAAUAAAUUAUUUGAAAUUGAAUUUCA
RNAcentral lists this long non-coding RNA (1430 nucleotides) under Anas platyrhynchos platyrhynchos (common mallard). RNAcentral's name for it is "lncRNA (ENSAPLG00000028851.1)". Lineage: Eukaryota; Metazoa; Chordata; Aves; Anseriformes; Anatidae. The record is from RNAcentral.